RNAcentral lists this ribosomal RNA (402 nucleotides) under Fusobacteriota bacterium. RNAcentral's name for it is "Fusobacteria bacterium partial 16S ribosomal RNA". It matches the Rfam family "Bacterial small subunit ribosomal RNA", at positions 355 to 776 of the family's 1533-position model. The record is from RNAcentral. Lineage: Bacteria; Fusobacteriati; Fusobacteriota.
UGGGGAAUCUUGCACAAUGGGGGAAACCCUGAUGCAGCGACGCCGCGUGAGCGAUGAAGGUUUUCGAAUCGUAAAGCUCUGUCCUAUGGGAAGAUAAUGACGGUACCAUGGGAGGAAGCCCCGGCUAACUACGUGCCAGCAGCCGCGGUAAUACGUAGGGGGCGAGCGUUGUCCGGAAUUACUGGGCGUAAAGGGUUCGUAGGCGGCAUGGCAAGUCCGAUGUAAAAGGCGAAGGCUCAACCUUCGUAAGCAUCGGAAACUGUCAAGCUUGAGGGAAGGAGAGGCAAGUGGAAUUCCUAGUGUAGCGGUGGAAUGCGUAGAUAUUAGGAGGAAUACCGGUGGCGAGGCGACUUGCUGGACUUCAACUGACGCUGAGGAACGAAAGCGUGGGUAGCAAACAGG